Trachemys scripta elegans is the source of this 756-nucleotide long non-coding RNA. RefSeq lists it as uncharacterized. The transcript has 3 exons. The record is from RefSeq and is a predicted model, not a curated record. NCBI's taxonomy places the organism in Eukaryota, Metazoa, Chordata, Testudines, Emydidae.
GCCGCCGCUCCCAGCAUGCACGGCUCGGGGGCGGAGCCUCCGCGACGCCAUCUUGGAAAGGGCGACACACGGGAGUGGGAAGACGCCACCUUGGAAAGGUCACUGGCUGCCCCGCUCGCUAAAACAGGGCCGCCAUCUUGGGAAGGUCCGGUCUCUGGCGCCCGCCUCCCCCGGAGGUAGCGCAGCACCGCCAUUUUGGGAGGGUCGGUUAGGCUCGAAAUGCCCUGUCAGGGGCGGGAGCCUGUGAAACACCUCAGCCCAGGCCUGGGUGCGAGAGCUCGCGACGUGCCCCGCCAGGAGGGGAGGCGCUGGGCCUAGCAGCCAGUGGGCUGGGCUGUCCUCCUCCACCCCCACGCCCUCAGGCCCCACCGUCCCCCCAGUGGCAGGGCCGGAGUGGGCGUGCGGCCUGGCGCCUGCCCCGAGGAGCUCCCAGUCUGAGGCCGCGAGAUGGACGGACCGAGCGCUGUGACACAGAACUGUUUAUGGUGACCGCAUUUUCAACACAUGGGUGGAAACAGAAGUGAUCUUUGCAGCUAUAGAUGCUUCUUAAUGUUAGUUCAAGAUAAAGAUGCUCACAGAGGCUGCUGCUGUAUAAAAAGAGACAGAUGUACUGAAGAGCUGCUGGAUAGAUGCUGGAGAGAAAUAUGCCGGUUUCUAAACUGGUGGGGACACUAUUUUAUUUUCUAUCUCUAUAUAAUGUUUUAUUUGUUCCAGCAGUUGUUUAGAAAAAUCCAAAUGGGUCUCUUUCAGUUCUUC